This is a long non-coding RNA of Zophobas morio, 365 nucleotides long. RefSeq lists it as uncharacterized. The transcript has 4 exons. The record is from RefSeq and is a predicted model, not a curated record. Lineage: Eukaryota; Metazoa; Arthropoda; Insecta; Coleoptera; Tenebrionidae.
GCUCUCCUUUUUGACGGCGUUGACACGAAGUUAUUCUAUGCCACUGGAAACAACGUGCAUCACUUGACCUACUCGCACUCGAGCGGCGCGCAGACCAAUCUUCUGUAUAAAUCCGUUUUGCCUAUUAAUUCUCUGGACUUGCUAAACUCGGAGCUUGUUUUAGCUACGGACUCUCAAUUGGUUAUUUUAGAACUGGCUACCGUUUAGCAUCGAAGUGUUUGCUUUAUGUGUGGAAAGAAAGUUCACGUUCAUACUAAAUAGUCCUUGCUAAAGCCCGUUAACGACGCACUCUGUCAAACUUUAACUAGUUCGUUGCGCUGGUGGCGCCCGCCUCCAGAGUCUACGAGCGACUUUUAAUAACAUGC